Molecule: long non-coding RNA, 830 nt
Filed under: Marmota monax (woodchuck)
Lineage: Eukaryota; Metazoa; Chordata; Mammalia; Rodentia; Sciuridae
Source: RNAcentral
GGGAAAGAGAGAAGGAGGGAGGGAGAAGGGGAGGGGGAGGAGAGAAAGAAAGAAAAUUUUAAAAUGAAGCCAGAUUUCAAAAUAAGUUUGCAAACAAAAGCACCAACAUUGGGCCUUGAAAUGGUGCUUAACAGUUCAGAAAGGACUUUCUAUAGAGAUAAAUAUUGGACAGUUAACUAGAAUUUCAAAAGGCCAAGGGUUUAUGUUUCCUUAUUUCAGAUGUUACUAGAACAGUUAACUCUGGACUAACAAAUCAGAGUCUUUUCCUGUAGACUUUUUGAGUAUUGUGAUUUUUUUUUUAACCAAAAAGAAGGAAAAAUAAAUGUUUGUAUAGAAUAGGGGAAUGAACUUUAUUUGAUUUAGAAUUUUAGGGAUCAACAGAAAAUUGAAAACCUUUUAUUUUGCAAAAGUUUUUUUUUUUAAAUCACAUUACCAUGUGCUGUCACUCAUUUGAGAAGAUGACAGCUUAGCACCCCCAAAAUAGGAAUGGUAUCAGUAUCAGAAUGAAGUAUGAGUUGUUUGUUUUGCACUGCUGGGGAUUCAACCUAGGAUCUCAAGAAUGCAAGGCAAAACCUACAUCCUCAGCCCAGCAUGAUGUUUUUAAUUGAAUAAAUUUAAAGUUAUUAAACAUUACCUGUUGCAUUUCAUCAUGGCCCUACAUUGAAACAUCUUUAAGUUGUUCAUUUAUGAGUAUGUUAUCACUACAUUAAGAUAUUUUGAUAUUCAUUAUAUAUUCUAUUUCUACCACCUGGGGUACCUCUACCCUUUAUUUUUUACUUACCAACCAUCUGUUUUCCUUUAUGAAUAAAUGUUAUUUUUUUCUCCAAGAA